This 254-nucleotide ribosomal RNA is filed under the name uncultured bacterium. RNAcentral's name for it is "partial 16S ribosomal RNA". It matches the Rfam family "Bacterial small subunit ribosomal RNA", at positions 524 to 776 of the family's 1533-position model. The record is from RNAcentral.
UACGGGGGGAGCAAGCGUUGUUCGGAAUUACUGGGCGUAAAGGGCGCGUAGGCGGUCAGCAGAAGCUAGUUGUGAAAUCUCCGAGCUUAACUCGGAAAGGUCAACUGAUACUGUGCGACUAGAGUGCGGAAGGGGCAACUGGAAUUCUUGGUGUAGCGGUGAAAUGCGUAGAUAUCAAGAGGAACACCUGCGGCGAAGGCGGGUUGCUGGGCCGACACUGACGCUGAGGCGCGAAAGCCAGGGGAGCGAACGGG